GUUAAGUGAAGGAGAGCUUCAUUGAGCUCCCCUAGAGCUCCCUCAGCUCUCAUCUCUCUCUCUCUCUCUCUCUAUCUGUCAUAUAUACAGUAGAGUACAGGUUCCCGUACCAUAUAUUAUGUAGAAUAAGAAGAUAGGAGAGAGGAGAUUGCUUUGGGUUUGGGUCUGGUGGGAGGUGGGGUUGAUGAUAAUUAUCUCCAUGUGAAAGCAGGAACAAAACCCAUCAAUCCUUUCUGAGAAAGAGCACGCAAUUCUUUGGAUUUUUAUCACUCUAUUCAACGUAAAAAUACCCUGCAACAAUCAUCAUGUCCUCUACCUUCUUCCUCUCAUCAUUAGUCCCUCACUUUCAUCAUCAUCGCUUCUUCUUUUACCAUUCACCAACCGCACCACCCAACUCAAACAUAACAGCAUCAAGGACAAGAAAAAAAAGAAAGAAAAACAAAGAGGAAAGUUAGAGAAGAAGAACAUGGCUUCACUCAAGAAGAAAAAACCCUACUCUUAUUUCCCACUUCUUCUAUUAGCCUCCACUACUCCAGCAUGAUGAGAAAAAAGGGUCUUCUUCUUUGAAAGAAUUUGAGCAGUUUCUUCUUCUUAUUCUUCUCUCUCUCUCUCGGGGAAUCGAAGCAUCACGGUCCGAUUGUUAAUUUUCUAGAUCAAGCAUAUGUCUAAACAAGUUUCCAAGCUUUUAUCCAUAUGGGUUUCUUUAUUGAAGUAGCUAGAUACUGUCUGCAGGGAUUUGCUUUAGAUGAUUGAAGAUUUUGGCAUGAGUAUUGCUCGAUUUUUUUCGACUUCAAUGUUGGUGCAAAAUUUCUGAAAGCUGCAGGAGGUCCAAGCUCUAGAGAUCUGGAUGUUCUUUAUAUCUAUGUAUGUAUGGCAAUAAAUACUGUUGUUUGAGAACAUAUAGCUAUGAACAGUUGAUUCCUGUUGACCUAUGUAAUUUUCUAUUUCCAUGUUAAUAUAAAUACACUUCUCUAUUUCUGUGAAAA
Long non-coding RNA from Manihot esculenta (cassava), 986 nucleotides. RefSeq lists it as uncharacterized. The transcript is spliced from 2 exons. Lineage: Eukaryota; Viridiplantae; Streptophyta; Magnoliopsida; Malpighiales; Euphorbiaceae. The record is from RefSeq and is a predicted model, not a curated record.